RNAcentral lists this non-coding RNA (24 nucleotides) under Arabidopsis thaliana (thale cress). The record is from RNAcentral. Lineage: Eukaryota; Viridiplantae; Streptophyta; Magnoliopsida; Brassicales; Brassicaceae.
GUUGCUGAAUACUGUGUGCGUGAC